GAAUAUUGGACAAUGGGGGGAACCCUGAUCCAGCCAUGCCGCGUGUGUGAAGAAGGUCUUUUGGUUGUAAAGCACUUUAAGCGAGGAGGAGGCUACUCUAGUUAAUACCUAGAGAUAGUGGACGUUACUCGCAGAAUAAGCACCGGCUAACUCUGUGCCAGCAGCCGCGGUAAUACGGAGGGUGCAACCGUUAAUCGGAUUUACUGGGCGUAAAGCGCGCGGAGGGUGGCAAUUAAGGUCAAUGUGGAAAGCCCGAGCUUAAAUUGGGAAAUGGAAUCGAUAAUGGGUGGCUAGAGGAUGGGAGAAGAUGGGAGAAUUCCAGGUGGAGCCGUGAAAUGCGUAGAGAUCUGGAGGAAUACCGAUGGCGAAGGCAGCCAUCUGGCCUAAGACUGACACUGAGGUGCGAAAGCAUGGGGAGCAAAC
This 423-nucleotide ribosomal RNA is filed under the name uncultured bacterium. RNAcentral describes it as "partial 16S ribosomal RNA". It matches the Rfam family "Bacterial small subunit ribosomal RNA", at positions 359 to 773 of the family's 1533-position model. The record is from RNAcentral.